This 872-nucleotide ribosomal RNA is filed under the name uncultured bacterium. Its description in RNAcentral is "bacterial SSU rRNA". It matches the Rfam family "Bacterial small subunit ribosomal RNA", at positions 126 to 1042 of the family's 1533-position model. The record is from RNAcentral.
UUACCGAUUGGUACGGAACAACCCAGAGAAAUUUGGGCUAAUACCGUAUGUGCCCGUAAGGAAAGAUUUAUCGCCAAUCGAUGAGCCCGCGUUGGAUUAGCUAGAUGGUGAGGUAAGAGCUUACCAUGGCGACGAUCCAUUGCUGGUCUGAGAGGAUGAUCAGCCACACUGGGACUGAGACACGGCCCAGACUCCUACGGGAGGCAGCAGUGGGGAAUAUUGGACAAUGGGGGCAACCCUGAUCCAGCCAUGCCGCGUGAGUGAUGAAGGCCCUAGGGUUGUAAAGCUCUUCCAGUCAUGAGGAUAAUGACGUUAAUGACAGAAGAAGCCCCGGCUAACUUCGUGCCAGCAGCCGCGGUAAUACGAAGGGGGCUAGCGUUGUUCGGAAUCACUGGGCGUAAAGCGCACGUAGGCGGACUUUUAAGUCAGGGGUGAAAUCCCGAGGCUCAACCUCGGAACUGCCUUUGAUACUGGAAGUCUUGAGUUCGAGAGAGGUGAGUGGAACUCCGAGUGUAGAGGUGAAAUUCGUAGAUAUUCGGAAGAACACCAGUGGCGAAGGGGCUCACUGGCUCGAUACUGACGCUGAGGUGCGAAAGGUGGGGAGCAAACAGGAUUAGAUACCCUGGUAGUCCACGCCGUAAACGAUGGAAGCUAGCCGUCAGUAGCAUGCUAUUUGGUGGCGCAGUAACGCAUUAAGCUUCCCGCCUGGGGAGUACGGUCGCAAGACUAAAACUCAAGGAAUUGACGGGGGCCCGCACAAGCGUGGAGCAUGUGGUUUAAUUCGAAGCAACGCGCAGAACCUUACCAGCCCUCGACAUUUGAUGAUUGUUCCAGAGAUGGAUCGUUCCCUUCGGGACAUCAGGACAGGUGCU